This 73-nucleotide unclassified non-coding RNA is filed under the name Flavobacterium xanthum. Its description in RNAcentral is "Flavo-1 RNA". It matches the Rfam family "Flavo-1 RNA". The record is from RNAcentral. Lineage: Bacteria; Pseudomonadati; Bacteroidota; Flavobacteriia; Flavobacteriales; Flavobacteriaceae.
AUCUCGCAUGAGGGAAUGCAGUGGAAAUCCUCCCGGUUUUUCGGGAGAUUGAGAACGUAAUGCCCGACCCAGC